GGCCAAGCUGCUAAGGGUCCAUGGUGGAUGCCUCGGCAGCCAGAAGGGAUGAAGGGCGUGGCAAGCUGCGAAAAGCCACGGGGAGCCGCAAGCAGGCGAUGAUCCGUGGAUUCCCGAAUGGGGAAACCCGGCGGGAGAAAUCCCGUCACACCCGAAAGGGUGACCGAACCGGGCGAAGUAAAACCUUUUAGUAGCCCGAGGAAAAGAAACCGAAAGGGAUUCCCUGAGUAGCGGCGAGCGAAAGGGGAGGAGCCUAAACCGGUGUGGUGCCAUGGCGGCAGCCUUAGCCACACCGGGGUAGCGGGACAUACCCGGAGGGGACUGCCGGCCCCUCGGGGAGUUACAAAAUCAGGUGGUAGCAGAAGCAGUUGGGAAACUGCGCCACAGAGGGUGAGAGCCCCGUAUGCGAAACCACCUGAUCUCCCUGGGGUAUGAUCCCAAGUACCACCGCCCCCGUGAAAGGUGGUGGGAAUCAGCCCGGACCACCGGGUAAGGCUAAAUAUUCCUGGCUGACCGAUAGCGCAUAGUACCGCGAGGGAACGGUGAAAAGAACCCCGGGAGGGGAGUGAAAUAGAACCUGAAACCAUGGACCUACAAGCCAGUGGGAGGGCUAUGACCUUCGGGUCAAGCCUGACUGCGUGCCUCUUGGAAAAUGAGCCAGGGAGUUGUGGCAUGCGGCGAGGUUAAGCCGUGGAGGCGAAGCCGUAGGGAAACCGAGUCCGAAUAGGGCGAUAAAGUCGCAUGCUGCAGACGCGAAGCGGAACGAUCUAUCCAUGCCCAGGGUGAAGGACGGGUAACACCGUCUGGAGGCCCGAACCAAUCGGUGCUGCAAAACCGUUGGAUGAGGUGUGGAUAGGGGUGAAAAGCCAAUCGCGUUCCGUGAUAGCUCGUUCUCCCCGAAAUGCAUCGACGUGCAGCGUCGCUCGUUCCUUCCCGGAGGUAGAGAUACUGAUUGGGCUAGGGCCCCGAAAGGGGUACCGAACCCAACCAAACUCCGAAUGCCGGGAAAGGUAGAGCGGCAGUGAGUCCACGAGGGAUCAGCUCCGUGGACGAGAGGGAAACAACCCAGAUCGCCAGCUAAGGUCCCCAAGUGCACGCUAAGUGGGGAAGGAGGUAGAGCUCCUAAGACAGCGAGGAGGUUGGCUUAGAGGCAGCCAUCCUUUAAAGAGUGCGUAACAGCUCACUCGUCGAGGGGCUCUGCGCCGAAAAUUUAACGGGGCUUAAGCGUGCCACCGAAGCUGCGGGCUUACCCAAUAGGGUAAGCGGUAGGGGAGCGUACCCAGCGGGGAGAAGUCCUACCGUAAGGAGGGAUGGACUGCUGGGUAGUGAGAAUCCUGGCAUGAGUAGCAGCGAAGACAGGUUAGAAACCUGUCCGCCGGAAGCCCAAGGUUUCCGAUCCAAUGUAAAUCAGGGUCGGGUUAGCCGGUACCCUAAGGUGAGGGCGAAAGCCGUAGCCGAUGGGAAGCAGGUUAAUAUUCCUGCGCCAGCUGUGUGGAGGCCGGGGCGUGACGCAGAAGGAUAGCCUCCGGGAAGCUAUGGAUUGCUUCCUCUAAGCGCUUAGGGUGAGGGAUAGGCAAAUCCGUCCCUCGUAAAGCCUGAGGCGUGAUGGGGAGGGGAGGCUUAGACCUCCCCAACGGGGGUGACUCCAGGCUGCCAAGAAAUAACGUCACGGUCGAUGAAGCACAGCUGACCGUACCGUAAACCGACACAGGUGGGCUGGGUUAGUAGCCUAAGGCGGUCGGGGUAACUCUCCUCAAGGAACUCGGCAAAUUGACCCCGUAACUUCGGGAUAAGGGGUGCCCGCACGCCGUGCCGUUUAGGUGCGGAAGCGGGUCGCAGAAACCAGGUGGGGGCGACUGUUUACCAAAAACACAGCACUGCGCAAACUCGAAAGAGGACGUAUGCGGUGUGAAACCUGCCCAGUGCCCGUAGGUUAAGGGGAGCGGUGCAAGCCGCGAACCGAAGCCCGGGUAAACGGCGGCCGUAACUAUAACGGUCCUAUGGUAGCGAAAUUCCUUGUCGGGUAAGUUCCGACCUGCAUGAAUGGUCCAACGAUCCCCACGCUGUCUCGAGGAGAGUCCCGGCGAAAUUGUAGUGUCGGUCAAGAUGCCGACUACCCGCGGCAGGACGGAAAGACCCCGUGAAGCUUUACUGUACCCUGGCAUUGAUUGCUUGCGUGUCAUGCGCAGGAUAGGUGGGAGGCUGGGAAGGGCACCUUUCGGGGUGCCUGGAGCCGCCGGUGAGAUACCACCCUUGACACGUGGGUAAUCUAACCGAGCUGUGUUAUCCACAGCCGGGACAGUGUCAGGCGGGCAGUUUGACUGGGGCGGUCGCCUCCUAAAGGGUAACGGAGGCGCCCAAAGGUACCCUCAGGUGGGUCGGAAAUCCACCGUUAGAGUGCAAAGGCAUAAGGGUGCCUGACUGUGAGACCGACAGGUCGAGCAGGCGCGAAAGCGGGGCUUAGUGACCCACACGUUCCGCGUGGAAGGGCGUGUGAUCAGCGGAUAAAAGCUACUCCGGGGAUAACAGGCUAAUCCCGCCCGAGAGCCCACAUCGACGGCGGGGUUUGGCACCUCGAUGUCGGCUCGCCGCAUCCUGGGGCUGUAGCCGGUCCCAAGGGUUGGGCUGUUCGCCCAUUAAAGCGGCACGCGAGCUGGGUUCAGAACGUCGUGAGACAGUUCGGUCCCUAUCCGCCGCGGGCGCAGGAGUCUUGAGAGGGGCCACUCCUAGUACGAGAGGACCGGAGUGGGGCAGGCUCUGGUGUACCGGUUGUUCUCCAAGAGCAGCGCCGGGUAGCCACCCUGCUACGGGAUAAGCGCUGAAAGCAUCUAAGCGUGAAGCCCACCUCAAGAUAAGGACUCCCGCACCGAAAGGUGCCUGAAGGGCCCUGGGAGACUACCAGGUUGAUAGGCUGCAGGUGGAAGCUCAGCGAUGGGUGGAGCCGAGCAGUACUAAUCGCCCGUGAGGCUUGGCCUC
Persephonella marina EX-H1 is the source of this 2976-nucleotide ribosomal RNA. It matches the Rfam family "Bacterial large subunit ribosomal RNA". NCBI's taxonomy places the organism in Bacteria, Pseudomonadati, Aquificota, Aquificia, Aquificales, Hydrogenothermaceae. The record is from Rfam.